Molecule: ribosomal RNA, 250 nt
Filed under: uncultured prokaryote
Description: partial 16S ribosomal RNA
Rfam family: Bacterial small subunit ribosomal RNA
Source: RNAcentral
UACGGAGGAUGCGAGCGUUAUCCGGAUUUAUUGGGUUUAAAGGGUGCGUAGGCGGACCGUUAAGUCAGCGGUGAAAGUUUGGCGCUUAACGUCAAAAUUGCCAUUGAUACUGACGGACUUGAGUGUAUUUGAGGUAGGCGGAAUGUGUGGUGUAGCGGUGAAAUGCAUAGAUAUCACACAGAACACCGAUUGCGAAGGCAGCUUACUAAGAUACUACUGACGCUGAGGCACGAAAGUGUGGGGAUCGAAC